UGGGGAAUAUUGCACAAUGGGCGCAAGCCUGAUGCAGCCAUGCUGCGUGUAUGAAGAAGGCCUUCGGGCUGUAAAGUACUUUCAGCGAGGAGGAAGGCGUUGUGGUUAAUAACCGCAACGAUUGACGUUACUCGCAGAAGAAGCACCGGCUAACUCCGUGCCAGCAGCCGCGGUACUACGGAGGGUGCAAGCGUUAAUCGGAAUUACUGGGCGUAAAGCGCACGUAGGCGGUCUGUCAAGUCGGAUGUGAAAUCCCCGGGCUCAACCUGGGAACUGCAUCCGAAACUGGCAGGCUAGAGUCUUGUAGAGGGGGGUAGAAUUCCAGGUGUAGCGGUGAAAUGCGUAGAGAUCUGGAGGAAUACCGGUGGCGAAGGCGGCCCCCUGGACAAAGACUGACGCUCAGGUGCGAAAGCGUGGGGAGCAAACA
This 427-nucleotide ribosomal RNA is filed under the name uncultured bacterium. RNAcentral's name for it is "partial 16S ribosomal RNA". It matches the Rfam family "Bacterial small subunit ribosomal RNA", at positions 355 to 774 of the family's 1533-position model. The record is from RNAcentral.